GGUUUGUCGCGUUGUUCGUGAAAUCUCACGGCUUAACUGUGAGCGUGCGGGCGAUACGGGCAGACUUGAGUACUGCAGGGGAGACUGGAAUUCCUGGUGUAGCGGUGGAAUGCGCAGAUAUCAGGAGGAACACCGGUGGCGAAGGCGGGUCUCUGGGCAGUAACUGACGCUGAGGAGCGAAAGCGUGGGGAGCGAACAGGAUUAGAUACCCUGGUAGUCCACGCCGUAAACGGUGGGUACUAGGUGUGGGUUUCCUUCCUUGGGAUCCGUGCCGUAGCUAACGCAUUAAGUACCCCGCCUGGGGAGUACGGCCGCAAGGCUAAAACUCAAAGAAAUUGACGGGGGCCCGCACAAGCGGCGGAGCAUGUGGAUUAAUUCGAUGCAACGCGAAGAACCUUACCUGGGUUUGACAUGCACAGGACGCCGGCAGAGAUGUCGGUUCCCUUGUGGCCUGUGUGCAGGUGGUGCAUGGCUGUCGUCAGCUCGUGUCGUGAGAUGUUGGGUUAAGUCCCGCAACGAGCGCAACCCUUGUCUCAUGUUGCCAGCGGGUAAUGCCGGGGACUCGUGAGAGACUGCCGGGGUCAACUCGGAGGAAGGUGGGGAUGACGUCAAGUCAUCAUGCCCCUUAUGUCCAGGGCUUCACACAUGCUACAAUGGCCGGUACAAAGGGCUGCGAUGCCGCGAGGUUAAGCGAAUCCUUUUAAAGCC
Molecule: ribosomal RNA, 708 nt
Filed under: uncultured bacterium
Lineage: Bacteria
Description: bacterial SSU rRNA
Rfam family: Bacterial small subunit ribosomal RNA
Source: RNAcentral